AUAUGACCCACAUAUUAAUUAAUUAAUAGAAAUUUAUAAAAAUGCGUUAUAUAUAGAGAAAUGAGUUGGAAUGUUAUCGGUAGCAAACGAGUUCUAUUGCUACUCAUUUAUUUUCAAUGAUGGAGCCUCUAAAUCGACGAUCAACACCGUUGAACAUGAUCUAUACCACUUGAAGUAUUUGAAAACUAAAUUUUAAAUCUUUUCGACAUUAUUAACCUAAUGAUUAAAGGGUUUCAAAAUUUAUAAUUUUAAUGAUAAAUAUGAGGUGUUUUCUCGUUUAAGGAUGUAAAGCUAUCCAAAUCAAUUGAAGUUUGAUUAGAAAAUUCUUUAAACUAUUUAGAACAAGAUCUAUACUCUCAAUCUUGAUUACAAAAUUUCUAUCAUCACUUUUUAGAAGAUAUUUAUUUUCAGUCGUUCAUUUUUAUUUGCAUUUGAUGGGCAAGAGAACAAUAUUGAAAAAAUAUGAAAUUAAUUUGGUUUAUAGAUAUACUUCAAAUAGUAUAUAUCAUAUUCAACGAUGUCGAUUAUCGAUUUGAAAGCUUCAUCAUAAAAAAUAAAUGGAUGCAACGAAAUCCGUUUGCUACCGAUAGCAUUCCAGCUCAACUCUGUGUGUGUGUGUGUGUGUGUGUGUGUGUGUGUGAAUUGAACAUCCAAUAAGAA
RNAcentral lists this long non-coding RNA (660 nucleotides) under Ananas comosus (pineapple). Its description in RNAcentral is "long non-coding RNA (ACOM_LNC041282)". The record is from RNAcentral. Lineage: Eukaryota; Viridiplantae; Streptophyta; Magnoliopsida; Poales; Bromeliaceae.